UACAUGGGGUGCAAACGUCGCUCGGAAUUAUUGGGCGUAAAGCGCACGUAGGCGGUUCGUUAAGUCGGACGUGAAAGCCCUCGGCUCAACCGAGGAAGUGCAUCCGAAACUGGCGAGCUAGAGUACGAAAGAGGGUCGCGGAAUUCCCGGUGUAGAGGUGAAAUUCGUAGAUAUCGGGAGGAACACCAGUGGCGAAGGCGGCGAUCUGGGUCGAUACUGACGCUGAGGUGCGAAAGCGUGGGGAGCAAACAGG
This 253-nucleotide ribosomal RNA is filed under the name uncultured bacterium. RNAcentral describes it as "partial 16S ribosomal RNA". It matches the Rfam family "Bacterial small subunit ribosomal RNA", at positions 524 to 776 of the family's 1533-position model. The record is from RNAcentral.